Molecule: unclassified non-coding RNA, 553 nt
Filed under: Hevea brasiliensis (rubber tree)
Lineage: Eukaryota; Viridiplantae; Streptophyta; Magnoliopsida; Malpighiales; Euphorbiaceae
Source: RNAcentral
GUGGUUGCAGACAGAUUUUGAAUAGCAUUUUUCUUGUAAUUAUAACCUUCGUUCCAUAUGCCAGCAUUUGUUCGUAUAAUUUAUGUCAGCUGCAAGUUCUGUGCUCAUCUCAAUUGGAUUGGACUGCAUGCUUCUUAUUGAAGUAACAUGUUCAUUUGAUGGUACUUCUAAGUAACUUUCUUACAUGCUUCUGGUGUGCUUUCUGCUUAUGCGCUGCUUAAAAUUGGCCAAACAAAAUGUUCCUUGUGGGCUAAUGUUUCUGCUGUACAGUCUCUUCCGUGCACUUGGGGAGGACGUUGGAUUUUCUCUAUAGUAUUGGUAGCGGAAUUGUCCUUUAAAUACUAGAAGAAUUGUGUUUGCCCCGCGUAUUUUAAGUGAAUUAAUUAAAGAUGAAGUCCAAGGCCAGACUGCCAAUGUUUUUGUCUUUAUAUCUCCAAACAAUGGAUGGGUUAUUUUUAUUUUCUUAAUGAAUGUUGGCCGCUGUGCUUAUCUGCACUCUGUAUGCAGAGACGUGCAGGCACGUUUGUUUGGUCGCCUUGAGUUUAUAAAUUUG